GGCUUUUGCUGGCCGCUGUCUUCUUAGAGGGACUAACAGCGUUUAGCUGUUGGAAGUUUGAGGCAAUAACAGGUCUGUGAUGCCCUUAGAUGUUCUGGGCCGCACGCGCGCUACACUGACAGAGCCAACGAGUUCUUCACCUUGNUCGAAAGAAUUGGGUAAUCUUGUUAAACUCUGUCGUGCUGGGGAUAAAGCAUUGCAAUUAUUGCUUUUCAACGAGGAAUGCCUAGUAAGCGCGUGUCAUCAGCAUGCGUUGAUUACGUCCCUGACCUUUGUACACACCGCCCGUCGCU
Molecule: ribosomal RNA, 293 nt
Filed under: uncultured fungus
Lineage: Eukaryota; Fungi
Description: partial 18S ribosomal RNA
Rfam family: Eukaryotic small subunit ribosomal RNA
Source: RNAcentral